This 316-nucleotide long non-coding RNA is filed under the name Mytilus galloprovincialis (Mediterranean mussel). Lineage: Eukaryota; Metazoa; Mollusca; Bivalvia; Mytilida; Mytilidae. The record is from RNAcentral.
UAUCAACAGUUUGGGUUGAACUUGAACUUGACUUACUUAACAAUGUUAAAUGCUAAAAAUAGUUAACAUCAAUGUUAUCCACAGCACGAGUUUUUUAAAGGGCGGGAAAAAAUAUCGCGUACUAGUAAACUCAGGUGACCUUUCUGGCCGACCGUGGGAAAGUCCAUUCAAGGUUUCUAAAGUUGCAGAACGACAUUUUUGUGCAAUCGUAUUGAGGCUCCAGAAGGUCCUUUUACAAUUGAUUUAUCGGGAAAAUAUAAUUCUUAUCCGAAUAAACGUGAACACAUUUUUAACUAUUUGAAUUUUAAUGUUUUAU